Molecule: small nuclear RNA, 103 nt
Organism: Nannospalax galili (Upper Galilee mountains blind mole rat)
Lineage: Eukaryota; Metazoa; Chordata; Mammalia; Rodentia; Spalacidae
Source: Ensembl
UUGCUUUGGGAGCACAUAUGCUAAAAUUAAAAUGAUACAGAGAAGAUUAGCAUGGCCCCUAAAAAAAUAAAUAAAUAAGCUGGGAGUGGUGGCACACACCUUU